RNAcentral lists this ribosomal RNA (463 nucleotides) under uncultured bacterium. RNAcentral's name for it is "partial 16S ribosomal RNA". It matches the Rfam family "Bacterial small subunit ribosomal RNA", at positions 30 to 507 of the family's 1533-position model. The record is from RNAcentral.
CGAACGCUGGCGGCGUGCUUAACACAUGCAAGUCGAACGGAAAGGCCCUGCUUGCAGGGUACUCGAGUGGCGAACGGGUGAGUAACACGUGGGUGAUCUGCCCUGCACUUCGGGAUAAGCCUGGGAAACUGGGUCUAAUACCGGAUAGGAGCCAUUUUUAGUGUGAUGGUUGGAAAGUUUUUUCGGUGUAGGAUGAGCUCGCGGCCUAUCAGCUUGUUGGUGGGGUAAUGGCCUACCAAGGCGGCGACGGGUAGCCGGCCUGAGAGGGUGGACGGCCACAUUGGGACUGAGAUGCGGCCCAGACUCCUACGGGAGGCAGCAGUGGGGAAUAUUGCACAAUGGGCGCAAGCCUGAUGCAGCGACGCCGCGUGGGGGAUGACGGCCUUCGGGUUGUAAACUCCUUUCGCUAGGGACGAAGCUUUUUGUGACGGUACCUAGAGAAGAAGCACCGGCUAACUACGUG